Molecule: ribosomal RNA, 777 nt
Filed under: uncultured Neocallimastigales
Lineage: Eukaryota; Fungi; Neocallimastigomycota; Neocallimastigomycetes; Neocallimastigales
Description: partial large subunit ribosomal RNA
Rfam family: Eukaryotic large subunit ribosomal RNA
Source: RNAcentral
CAUCACUACGCUAGAUGCAUAUCAAUAAGCGGAGGAAAAGAAACUAACAAGGAUUCCCUUAGUAACGGCGAGUGAAGCGGGAAGAGCUCAAAUUUGAAAUCUUAAAGGUUUUCCCUUGACGAAUUGUAGUUUAAAGAAGUGUUUUCUGUUGGAGUUUCGGUAAAAGUUCUUUGGAAUAGGACAUCAUAGAGGGUGAGAAUCCCGUAUUUGACCAUUACUUUCCAGCUGUGUGAUACACUUUCAAAGAGUCGGAUUGUUUGGGAAUGCAGUCCAAAAUGGGUGGUAAAUUUCAUCUAAAGCUAAAUAUUGGCGAGAGACCGAUAGCGAACAAGUACCGUGAGGGAAAGAUGAAAAGAACUUUGAAAAGAGAGUUAAACAGUACGUGAAAUUGUCAAAAGGGAAGCGUUUGACACCAGUGUUGUUUAGUUCGAAAAUCAAUUCAAGAAUGUUUUAUUUUGAAGUAGUAUUGACUUUAUCAGCUUGCUGCUUUCUUUUCAGGAAUUAUUGAAUGCACUUUUCAGUUAACAAGUCAACAUCAAUUUCUUUUGUUGUAAAAGAGUAAGAGGAAGGUGGCUUACGCUUCGGCGUAAGUGUUUAUAGCCUUUUACCUCUGCAAUCGGAGAGAUUGAGGACAGCAGCGUAGACUCUUCGGGGUUAGAUACACUUGUGCUAAGCUAUAGCCUUGUAUAGACAACUUGUUGACUAUGCUCAGUCAUGUAGCUUACUCGCUUGUGCUAUUUUACCUACGCUUAGGAUGUUGAAGAUAUGCGCGACACG